UACAGAGGGUGCGAGCGUUGUCCGGAAUUAUUGGGCGUAAAGAGCUCGUAGGCGGCUUGUCACGUCGGGUGUGAAAGCCCGGGGCUUAACCCCGGGUCUGCAUUCGAUACGGGCUAGCUAGAGUGUGGUAGGGGAGAUCGGAAUUCCUGGUGUAGCGGUGAAAUGCGCAGAUAUCAGGAGGAACACCGGUGGCGAAGGCGGAUCUCUGGGCCAUUACUGACGCUGAGGCGCGAAAGCGUGGGGAGCAAACAGG
RNAcentral lists this ribosomal RNA (253 nucleotides) under uncultured bacterium. RNAcentral's name for it is "partial 16S ribosomal RNA". It matches the Rfam family "Bacterial small subunit ribosomal RNA", at positions 524 to 776 of the family's 1533-position model. The record is from RNAcentral.